Triticum aestivum (bread wheat) is the source of this 115-nucleotide non-coding RNA. The record is from Rfam. NCBI's taxonomy places the organism in Eukaryota, Viridiplantae, Streptophyta, Magnoliopsida, Poales, Poaceae.
UAACUACUCCCUCCGUUCCGAAUUACUUGUCGUAGGUGUGGAUGUAUCUAGAUAUAUUUUAGUUCUAGAUACGUCCAUUUCUGUGACGAGUAAUUUGGAACGGAGGGAGUACUGG